GAAAUCCACUAGGGGCGCCAUCACGGCUGAGAUAAAGCGAUAUGCUUUUGUCCCUUUGAACCUGAUCUGGGUCAUGCCAGCGUAGGAAAGUGGGACUGUGCGUUU
RNAcentral lists this non-coding RNA (105 nucleotides) under Paenibacillus sp. Its description in RNAcentral is "TPP sequence". It matches the Rfam family "TPP riboswitch aptamer (THI element)". Rfam says of the family: Vitamin B(1) in its active form thiamin pyrophosphate (TPP) is an essential coenzyme that is synthesised by coupling of pyrimidine and thiazole moieties in bacteria. The previously detected thiamin-regulatory element, thi box was extended, resulting in a new, highly conserved RNA secondary structure, the THI element, which is widely distributed in eubacteria and also occurs in some archaea. Analysis of operon structures identified a large number of new candidate thiamin-regulated genes, mostly transporters, in various prokaryotic organisms. Lineage: Bacteria; Bacillati; Bacillota; Bacilli; Caryophanales; Paenibacillaceae. The record is from RNAcentral. RNAcentral also lists the same sequence under 1 other name.